AUCAUUCAUCGAGUGUUGAUUUGGAUCUUAAAGAGUCUUAAAACCUUUGGGUUUCGGAUAUUUUCACUUUUUGAACGUAUUUUCUCGUACGGUAGGUUAACAUCGAUUUUGAAGAUUAUAAAAUGAUCGGAGGAAUGUAGCUUCGAUCUCGUAUUGAAGUGUUAUAGCCUUUGGUAGAUGUAAUGAUCAAGAUCGAGGAUUGCAACGAAUACCCUUUUGGGCUAUCCGUCUGAUCUCUGAUACGUUGCCUCGGUAACGAAAGCGUGCUUACGGUAUUGAGGUAUUACGGUUAAAAGGUUAGAACGUGAUUAAA
Molecule: ribosomal RNA, 313 nt
Filed under: uncultured Glomeromycotina
Lineage: Eukaryota; Fungi; Glomeromycota
Description: eukaryotic LSU rRNA
Source: RNAcentral